GUUGACAAACUCAUGAUGUGUACUGUCAUGAGUUUGAUGGGGGGUGUUGGAAAAUAGUUAUUUAUUUAGUGCUUGGAUUUGGGCUUAGCCUAUUUGAAUUAGGUUUUCGUUUCCUUGCUUAUUAGGGACUAUGGUUAGUUUAUUAUAAAUAGAGAGCUUUGUUAUUCAGAGAGAUUAAGUCAUUCACAAUGUAGCCUCUUGGAGUUUUGUAGCCGUUUCGGCAUUCUCGUUUAUUUAAUAAUAUUCUUAUUUUGUUAGUUUUGUUAAUCGCACACUCUAAUAAUCAACUGGGAACUUGUUAUGUCGACUGUUCAUCAUUGAAGUUUGAUGAACAUUGUAUCCUUGAUUUAAAAAAAAAAUCCACGAUACGAAUAGUUUUCCUUCUUUAAUUUUGUUUAGAAGUGCCACCAACACUACAUUUUAGUGGUAUUUCUCUUUUGUUUAUAAAGUGAGAGAUCUCAAGUUCGUCUUGGAGGAUGAAUUUGGUACUAAUUAUUAUGGUUGACUCAUCUCAAAUUGUUUUUCACAAGGUAUAUUGGGCAACUGGGAGUAGUGUUGAUGGGUCACUUGUCAUAAACAAGGGUGACCAUGUUUGGUUCGGUGUGGUUUUAGGUAAAAUUGGAACUUGAUUUUUUUGUUGUUUGGCUCGAUGUGAUUUCGAAGCUUGAACCUAAAUGUAACCAAAUCAUUUAGGUGUGAUUUGAUUCAGUUUCAAACGGU
Molecule: long non-coding RNA, 720 nt
Filed under: Malus domestica (apple)
Lineage: Eukaryota; Viridiplantae; Streptophyta; Magnoliopsida; Rosales; Rosaceae
Description: long non-coding RNA (MDOM_LNC013653)
Source: RNAcentral